RNAcentral lists this long non-coding RNA (1022 nucleotides) under Equus asinus (donkey). RNAcentral's name for it is "lncRNA (ENSEASG00005026174.1)". Lineage: Eukaryota; Metazoa; Chordata; Mammalia; Perissodactyla; Equidae. The record is from RNAcentral.
ACUAAAGCCGUCGAAGCACAGUGCUAGCUCAGGCGCUGAUGCUCAUGUGUGAUGGUGUGUCAGCACAGACUGAGGAGGGGAGAGGACUCCAGGGAGAGAAGCCCCAAGGGUGUGCACGCACACACGCGUGUGGGCACACACACGGCUCAGGCCAGACCAGCGCAGGUCAUGAGGGGCUUGCAGCCAACAGGGGGAGCGCCGGUCCAGUGGAAGAGGGGGGUUACCACGUUGCCGGGAUCCCUGCGUGACGCACAAUCAGCUUUGAAACGACAGUGAAAAUGAGGCACAUUAGGCAGCCAUUAAGAAGCGUGAUGGGCGCCUGAGUCAGAGCAGCAUUUCAUAUGGGGCAGCGGCCCCCGUGGAUCUCUAAACAGCCUCGAGCCUUCAUCUCUCCCGAGGAAGAAAUGCUCAGCCUUGUUAUUUUUAUGCAUGUUCAGGGCCUUCAAAGGCACCGUCUCCUGGGCUCCAUGGGAGGAGAAGGGUCGGGUCAAGGUCACACAGCCUGUCGGUCAAGGGCAGACACAUGGAUGAGGUUUGCUUAGGAAAACCCAGGCCCCACCAGAGGCAGGUUCGGAAGCUGAAACCACAGGGCUCCUCAGCGCACGGCCCCGUCUGGGGUCCCUCACCUAGUUCCGGGUUCCUUUACUGAGAAAGCUCCGCCCGAAGGCCUGGAUUCUUCCUAUGACUGAUGAUUUGUUAUGAUGGCCUUGUUAUGCCAACGACAUCGACAGAGACCCAUUCUGUUCGACGCUCACAGGCUGUUUUUCAAGGGUUCUUCAUCUUCAAAACGCCACCGAAUCCUCCUGCUUCUGCCCGGGCCAGUGAGGGGCCCAGACCGCGCAGAGAGGGAGCGGCUCCGGGAGACCCUCAGCCUGCCGCCUGGUGGCCCAGGAGCCCACCCCCACCUGCACGCCUCCCGCGGAGCCCUGUCUCGCCCUCGAACCUGUCAGGGCUGAGGCGGGCUGGAAGUCACAGCUGCAGGCUCUGUUGCUUGGCCCUGACUCAGUUUCCACCCAGACGUC